GAUGAACGCUGGCGGCGUGCCUAAUACAUGCAAGUCGAGCGAACGGACGAGAAGCUUGCUUUUCUGAUGUUAGCGGCGGACGGGUGAGUAACACGUGGAUAACCUACCUAUAAGACUGGGAUAACUUCGGGAAACCGGGGCUAAUACCGGAUAAUAUUUUGAACCGCAUGGUUCAAAAGUGAAAGACGGUCUUGCUGUCACUUAUAGAUGGAUCCGCGCUGCAUUAGCUAGUUGGUAAGGUAACGGCUUACCAAGGCAACGAUGCAUAGCCGACCUGAGAGGGUGAUCGGCCACACUGGAACUGAGACACGGUCCAGACUCCUACGGGAGGCAGCAGUAGGGAAUCUUCCGCAAUGGGCGAAAGCCUGACGGAGCAACGCCGCGUGAGUGAUGAAGGUCUUCGGAUCGUAAAACUCUGUUAUUAGGGAAGAACAUAUGUGUAAGUAACUGUGCACAUCUUGACGGUACCUAAUCAGAAAGCCACGGCUAACUACGUGCCAGCAGCCGCGGUAAUACGUAGGUGGCAAGCGUUAUCCGGAAUUAUUGGGCGUAAAGCGCGCGUAGGCGGUUUUUUAAGUCUGAUGUGAAAGCCCACGGCUCAACCGUGGAGGGUCAUUGGAAACUGGAAAACUUGAGUGCAGAAGAGGAAAGUGGAAUUCCAUGUGUAGCGGUGAAAUGCGCAGAGAUAUGGAGGAACACCAGUGGCGAAGGCGACUUUCUGGUCUGUAACUGACGCUGAUGUGCGAAAGCGUGGGGAUCAAACAGGAUUAGAUACCCUGGUAGUCCACGCCGUAAACGAUGAGUGCUAAGUGUUAGGGGGUUUCCGCCCCUUAGUGCUGCAGCUAACGCAUUAAGCACUCCGCCUGGGGAGUACGACCGCAAGGUUGAAACUCAAAGGAAUUGACGGGGACCCGCACAAGCGGUGGAGCAUGUGGUUUAAUUCGAAGCAACGCGAAGAACCUUACCAAAUCUUGACAUCCUUUGACAACUCUAGAGAUAGAGCCUUCCCCUUCGGGGGACAAAGUGACAGGUGGUGCAUGGUUGUCGUCAGCUCGUGUCGUGAGAUGUUGGGUUAAGUCCCGCAACGAGCGCAACCCUUAAGCUUAGUUGCCAUCAUUAAGUUGGGCACUCUAAGUUGACUGCCGGUGACAAACCGGAGGAAGGUGGGGAUGACGUCAAAUCAUCAUGCCCCUUAUGAUUUGGGCUACACACGUGCUACAAUGGACAAUACAAAGGGCAGCGAAACCGCGAGGUCAAGCAAAUCCCAUAAAGUUGUUCUCAGUUCGGAUUGUAGUCUGCAACUCGACUACAUGAAGCUGGAAUCGCUAGUAAUCGUAGAUCAGCAUGCUACGGUGAAUACGUUCCCGGGUCU
Molecule: ribosomal RNA, 1372 nt
Filed under: uncultured bacterium
Lineage: Bacteria
Description: bacterial SSU rRNA
Rfam family: Bacterial small subunit ribosomal RNA
Source: RNAcentral